Molecule: unclassified non-coding RNA, 735 nt
Filed under: Hevea brasiliensis (rubber tree)
Lineage: Eukaryota; Viridiplantae; Streptophyta; Magnoliopsida; Malpighiales; Euphorbiaceae
Source: RNAcentral
UUUUUUUUUUUUUUUUUUUGAGCUGGGGAUUAGGGGAGUGGGUUUGCCAGGUGAGGUAUAUGCCUUCGGCCACUUAAUCAAACCAGACUAGACAAUGCCCUUUUCUAUCUUAUUACAUCCCAUUAUGCUUUUUAUAGCACUGAUACAUUAAUGAAAUCCUGAUCAAGGAUUGAUUCUCUCUUAUAGCACCAGUGCAAUGUCCAGGGAUGCAUCAUCCAGGUGAUCAUGCGAUUACUCUCCCUUCUUCAAGGACCUCGUAACUGCAACAGCAACGUGAACAUCAUCUUUUGGAAGGUUUUAUGGAACCCUUCUUUUCAGUUAAGCAGGAUAACAGAUGGGUUGGUGAAUAGAGUUUUGGCUCCACUGUCUCGGUUCAUGCUGGGGAUUAAACACAUCUGAUAUUCUCAUGCUCUUCAGGUUCAUUCGUCGCACCUCCAAAUUCUCUCCCCACAUCAGCACAUUCAGAUCUUCUUUCCUCAGCACUGUUAUGAACAAUCCUGGAGUCUUCAUUCCCUGGCUCAGAAUGUCGUGCAGAUUGUGAUUCACCAAAAGACUCUGUUGGCCCUGAUUGAACAGAUAUUUCAUCACUAUUCCCUGCCACAGAAGAAUCCUGACGAGUUUCUGCUUCAUUAUUAGGUAAUUCACUUGGAACUUUAGCAGAUGCAAUGAGGGAAAGGCGGCAGAGAGGGCAAGUAGUGUGAUUGGCAAGCCACUGGUCAAUGCACUCCAUGUGAA